RNAcentral lists this transfer-messenger RNA (246 nucleotides) under Thermobifida sp. RNAcentral describes it as "partial transfer-messenger RNA". It matches the Rfam family "transfer-messenger RNA", at positions 1 to 240 of the family's 374-position model. From Rfam's summary of the family: Bacterial tmRNA, also known as 10Sa RNA or SsrA, is named for its dual tRNA and mRNA-like properties. Its role is to liberate the mRNA from a stalled ribosome. The record is from RNAcentral. Lineage: Bacteria; Bacillati; Actinomycetota; Actinomycetes; Streptosporangiales; Nocardiopsidaceae.
GGGGAUGAUCGGUUUCGACAGUGGUCGUCGAUCGAAGUGAAGCGAGCCGAGAAUGUGCGCUCAACUCGUUAACGAUGCGUGCAAACCAAUAGGUGCCGAACAGAAUCGCACCGACUACGUUCUCGCUGCCUGAUAUCGCAGCCUGAACCUUUAGUCCGUCAGCCCGGGAGUUGCUUCCGGCCCGGUGUCUGGCGUCGUCUAGGGAGCCACUGGGAGUCGCCCAUGUUGGUGGGGCGCCUCCGACAC